RNAcentral lists this long non-coding RNA (697 nucleotides) under Anas platyrhynchos platyrhynchos (common mallard). Its description in RNAcentral is "lncRNA (ENSAPLG00000030102.1)". The record is from RNAcentral. Lineage: Eukaryota; Metazoa; Chordata; Aves; Anseriformes; Anatidae.
GCUGGACUGCCAUAUGGAUAAAAUCUCAUUUAUGUCUCUGUCUUCUUGGCAUAAAACAGGAAGCCAACCUACCCUUCCAAAUCAAAAGUACCAAGGGGCAAGCAAGCUGCUGCAUGGUAUACACCUCUGCUGUGGGUGGCACCCUGACCGCUGGACUGCCAGUCCUGUACUAUUGAUCCAUCUCCCAUGACGUAGGGAACACAUAGGAGAUGUUCACAUGAUAUCAGCUAGAGCUGUUCUUGGUCUCAUCUGCUGGAACUGUUUAAUCUCUGAUAACAUCAAAUGAUCAGCACUACAAUUGGUCAUACAUUGUUUGAUCUGGCUUUAUUUUAGUUUUCCUUUUUCUCAUACUGUGGAAUAUUUUGACAUUUGUUGAAACUCCCCCAGACUUCCAACUUUCCAUUUGGAAAUUGAUUGAAACAACAUAGUUUAUUUUCAGUAGAAACUGAAUUUAAAUAUGCCAGACCACAUGUUUCAGGGCUUCUCUGAUGUCUCCUAGGAGUCACUUUUCAGAUAACCUGUGCUCCCAUUCUUCCAUCAGGGCAAAGCUGGGCUGAGCUCUCUGUAUAGUUUCUGUGCCUCAUGAUCUUCUUGUUGUACAUCUUGCCUCAUUUACUUAAGUAAUUCAAUCUUAUAACACUUGCUGGGUGGGGAAAUUUUUCAUUUUUUGGUAAGAAUAAACAUUCAGAAGAAAGCA